RNAcentral lists this ribosomal RNA (63 nucleotides) under Phaeoacremonium minimum. Its description in RNAcentral is "partial 28S ribosomal RNA". It matches the Rfam family "Eukaryotic large subunit ribosomal RNA", at positions 1 to 59 of the family's 3401-position model. The record is from RNAcentral. Lineage: Eukaryota; Fungi; Ascomycota; Sordariomycetes; Togniniales; Togniniaceae.
AGGUUGACCUCGGAUCAGGUAGGAAUACCCGCUGAACUUAAGCAUAUCAUUAAGCGGAGGAAA